CCUACGGGAGGCAGCAGUGGGGAAUCUUCCGCAAUGGGCGCAAGCCUGACGGAGCAACGCCGCGUGAGUGAAGAAGGUCUUCGGAUCGUAAAGCUCUGUUGACGGGGACGAACGUGCGGAGAGCGAAUAGCUCUUUGCAAUGACGGUACCUGUCGAGGAAGCCACGGCUAACUACGUGCCAGCAGCCGCGGUAAUACGUAGGUGGCGAGCGUUGUCCGGAAUCAUUGGGCGUAAAGGGAGCGCAGGCGGGCUUAUCAGUCUUUCUUAAAAGUUCGGGGCUCAACCCCGUGAUGGGAAAGAAACUAUAAGUCUUGAGUACAGGAGAGGAAAGCGGAAUUCCCAGUGUAGCGGUGAAAUGCGUAGAUAUUGGGAGGAACACCAGUGGCGAAGGCGGCUUUCUGGACUGCAACUGACGCUGAGGCUCGAAAGCCAGGGGAGCGAACGGGAUUAGAUACCCCUGUAGUC
RNAcentral lists this ribosomal RNA (465 nucleotides) under uncultured Selenomonas sp. RNAcentral's name for it is "bacterial SSU rRNA". It matches the Rfam family "Bacterial small subunit ribosomal RNA", at positions 338 to 795 of the family's 1533-position model. The record is from RNAcentral. Lineage: Bacteria; Bacillati; Bacillota; Negativicutes; Selenomonadales; Selenomonadaceae.